This 409-nucleotide long non-coding RNA is filed under the name Vulpes vulpes (red fox). RNAcentral describes it as "lncRNA (ENSVVUG00000001824.1)". The record is from RNAcentral. Lineage: Eukaryota; Metazoa; Chordata; Mammalia; Carnivora; Canidae.
CCUCAUUUAGCUUAAUUCCUCCCAGAGAGACUCCAAAUACAACCAUACUGGGGGUUAGGGCAUCGCAAGCAUACAGUCCAGAACAUGGAAGAUGUUGUAUCACCUUGCUUUUUACAUUAAAAAUAACUAUGGGACUUGCUUGAUGAUAUUAAAAAGUAACCAAAUUGGAUGUUAUUCUUCAAGACCCGCAAGGUUUCAGCAUGUACUCUAUGUCCCCACAAAUUUGGAAGUGGAUUUUGUGAUUGAGCCUGUGAGACAUUGUGGUGAGGAUGUGAAAGAGAAAGUGGAGCAUCCAUCAAGGCAAAUGUUGGUUGCUUCUUCCUUUGUCUCUCCUACUACAAAGAACAGUAUGGUAGUUACUUAAAAACAAAGGAAUAAAGAGAAAUUAUGAGGGUUUUUGGUUUUUUUU